This 329-nucleotide unclassified non-coding RNA is filed under the name soil metagenome. RNAcentral's name for it is "partial contains 5.8S ribosomal RNA, internal transcribed spacer 2, and large subunit ribosomal RNA". The stretch from base 1 to 120 matches the Rfam family "5.8S ribosomal RNA", at positions 35 to 154 of the family's 154-position model. The record is from RNAcentral.
GAUGAAGAACGUAGCGAAAUGCGAUAAGUAAUGUGAAUUGCAGAAUUCAGUGAAUCAUCGAAUCUUUGAACGCACAUUGCGCCCUCUGGUAUUCCGGGGGGCAUGCCUGUUCGAGCGUCAUUAUAACCACUCAAGCUCUCGCUUGGUAUUGGGGUUCGCGGUUUCGCGGCCCCUAAAAUCAGUGGCGGUGCCUGUCGGCUCUACGCGCAGUAAUACUUCUCGCGAUUGAGUUCGAUAGGUCUACUUGCCAGUAACCCCCAAUUUUUACAGGUUGACCUCGGAUCAGGUAGGGAUACCCGCUGAACUUAAGCAUAUCAAUAAGCGGAGGA